This 546-nucleotide ribosomal RNA is filed under the name Triticum aestivum (bread wheat). RNAcentral's name for it is "partial small subunit ribosomal RNA". Lineage: Eukaryota; Viridiplantae; Streptophyta; Magnoliopsida; Poales; Poaceae. The record is from RNAcentral.
AUGUGUGUCCCGAAGAAGAAGGGAGGCAUGGGGUUUAGAGACCUUCACAGCUUUAACCUUGCUAUGUUAGCAAAGCAGUGUUGGCGACUUCUCCAAAAUACUGACUCUUUGUGUGCACGUGUUCUGAGUGCAAAAUAGUAUCCUAGUGGCGAUAUUCUCAAAGCUAGUCCAAAGAAAGGCUCAUCUUUUACUUGGCAAAGUAUUGUUGCUGGAAUACAAACUUUCAAAAGGGGUUGCAUCUGGCGAGUGGGCACUGGUUCCUAGAUUAACAUUUGGGAGGACCCUUGGAUCCCUUCUAGCGAAACCAUGAAGCUUAUUACCCCUAGAGGAGGAAUUAUGUUAACAAAGGUGGAAGAUAUAAUCGACCCCCACACGGGACGGUGGGAUGAGGCACUAUUGCAUAGUGCGUUCUCGCCAGUGGAUGUGCACAGAAUACUUCAAAUCCCCCUCCAUGUUGAAACUAUGGAAGAUUCUGUGGCGUGGCAUUAUACGAGAUCUGGAACUUUCUCAAUUCAUUUGGCAUACCAUGUGGAGUUCGAUCAUUAG